CUACGGGGGGCAGCAGUGAGGAAUAUUGCACAAUGGGGGGAACCCUGAUGCAGCAACGCCGCGUGGAGGAUGACGCAUUUCGGUGUGUAAACUCCUUUUAUAUGUCAAGAAAACGACGGUAGCAUAUGAAUAAGCACCGGCUAACUCCGUGCCAGCAGCCGCGGUGAAUACGGAGGGUGCAAGCGUUACUCGGAAUCACUGGGCGUAAAGGACGCGUAGGCGGGUUGGAAAGUCAGGUGUGAAAUCCUACAGCUUAACUGUAGAACUGCACUUGAAACUUCUAAUCUAGAGUAUGGGAGGGGGAGAUGGAAUUAGUGGUGUAGGGGUAAAAUCCGUAGAUAUCACUAGGAAUACCUAAAGCGAAGGCGAUCUCCUGGAACAUUACUGACGCUAAGGCGUGAAAGCGUGGGGAGCAAACAGGAUUAGAUACCCCCGUAGUC
This 440-nucleotide ribosomal RNA is filed under the name uncultured bacterium. RNAcentral describes it as "partial 16S ribosomal RNA". It matches the Rfam family "Bacterial small subunit ribosomal RNA", at positions 339 to 795 of the family's 1533-position model. The record is from RNAcentral.